GACGAACGCUGGCGGCGUGCUUAACACAUGCAAGUCGAACGAAGUGGCGAACGGGUGAGUAACGCGUAAUCAACCUGCCCUUCAGAGGGGGACAACAGUUGGCAACGACUGCUCAUACCGCAUACUGAAGGCGGGGAUUGCGUCUGCUUAGCUAGUUGGAGGGGUAACGGCCCACCAAGGCGAAGAUCAGUAGCCGGGCUGAGAGGGUGGACGGGCACAAUUGGACUGGGACACGGCCCAGACUCCUACGGGAGGCAGCAGUGGGGAAUCAUCCGCAAUGGACGGAAGUCGUACUGAGCAACGCCGCGUGAGUGAUGACGGGCUUCGGGUUUGAAAGCUCUGUUAAGCGGGACGCGGUACCGGAAGAGAAAGCAACGGCUAACUACGUGCCAGCAGCCGCGGUAAUAC
Molecule: ribosomal RNA, 408 nt
Filed under: uncultured bacterium
Lineage: Bacteria
Description: partial 16S ribosomal RNA
Rfam family: Bacterial small subunit ribosomal RNA
Source: RNAcentral